GGAUGCCAGCCUGGUCUCCCAAACCUUUGGAGGAGGGAGCAGGAAUAUGGGAGCACACACUGAUGUGAGAUCUUCCUGUCUUCUUUCUGCACAGGGUUUCUGCUCCUGGU
This is a microRNA precursor of Gallus gallus (chicken), 110 nucleotides long. Lineage: Eukaryota; Metazoa; Chordata; Aves; Galliformes; Phasianidae. The record is from Ensembl.